GCUGGGUGUGGUGGCGUGCGCCUGUACUCCUAGGUACUCGGGAGGCUGAGGCAGAAGAAUUGUUUGAACCCAGGAGGCGGGGUUGCAGUGGACCAAGACUGUGUCGCUGCACUCCAGCCUGGGUGAUAGAGCGAGACUCUGUCUCAA
Molecule: unclassified non-coding RNA, 147 nt
Organism: Macaca mulatta (Rhesus monkey)
Lineage: Eukaryota; Metazoa; Chordata; Mammalia; Primates; Cercopithecidae
Rfam family: Metazoan signal recognition particle RNA
About the family: The signal recognition particle (SRP) is a universally conserved ribonucleoprotein.
Source: Ensembl